This 72-nucleotide transfer RNA is filed under the name Ictidomys tridecemlineatus (thirteen-lined ground squirrel). RNAcentral's name for it is "Spermophilus tridecemlineatus (thirteen-lined ground squirrel) tRNA". It matches the Rfam family "tRNA". From Rfam's summary of the family: Transfer RNA (tRNA) molecules are approximately 80 nucleotides in length. Lineage: Eukaryota; Metazoa; Chordata; Mammalia; Rodentia; Sciuridae. The record is from Rfam by way of RNAcentral.
AGAGGUGUGAUUCAGUGGUAGAGUGGUUGCCUAAACUGCUCAAGGCCCUGGGUUCAAUUCCCAGCACUCCAA